AACCUGGUUGAUCCUGCCAGUAGUGUUUGAUGGGUAUAUAYAAUAAGCCAUGCAUGUCUCCGAAUAGAAGAGCAAGUCUCUCUGAAUCUGCGAACGGCUCCGCAUACCAGUUGUAAACCAUAGCAAGCAAGCCGCGUUGUUGCCGCAAGGCGACGGCGCGGUUCACAGGGAUAACCCUGGUAAUUCUGAGGCUAAUACAAGAACGUACCACCCGCUUCGACCCGUAAGGGGAGGGCGGGGGUUGUGUGACCCAGGUCGCAAAUAUUAACUGGGAGUGGCCACACGAUCUGACCACCAUACCAAACGGUUAUCCGCUUCGAAAGCUUCGGUGAGUAACGGCGGAUUUCUGGGUGGCUCUCGCUGUGUGCUUCUGACCUAUCAACUAGAUGGCAGCGUAACGGACAUGCCAUGGUAACAACGGGUACAGAGGAUAAGGGUUCGAUCCUGGAGAGUGGGCCUGAGAGAUUGCUCACACUUCUAAGGAAGGCAGCAGGCGCGCAACGUUCCCAUUGGGCAAAGCUCGAGGGCGUUAGGGGACAUAUGAAUGCCUGCCUAUGGUGGCAAUCAAAUGACGAAC
Molecule: ribosomal RNA, 577 nt
Filed under: Badhamia polycephala
Lineage: Eukaryota; Evosea; Eumycetozoa; Physariida; Physaraceae
Description: SSU rRNA
Rfam family: Eukaryotic small subunit ribosomal RNA
Source: RNAcentral